Molecule: ribosomal RNA, 450 nt
Filed under: uncultured bacterium
Lineage: Bacteria
Description: partial 16S ribosomal RNA
Rfam family: Bacterial small subunit ribosomal RNA
Source: RNAcentral
GUGGGGAAUUUUGGACAAUGGGCGCAAGCCUGAUCCAGCAAUGCCGCGUGCAGGAAGAAGGCCUUCGGGUUGUAAACUGCUUUUGUACGGAACGAAACGGUCCGGGUUAAUACCCUGGGCUAAUGACGGUACCGUAAGAAUAAGCACCGGCUAACUACGUGCCAGCAGCCGCGGUAAUACGUAGGGUGCAAGCGUUAAUCGGAAUUACUGGGCGUAAAGCGUGCGCAGGCGGUUUUGUAAGACAGGCGUGAAAUCCCCGGGCUCAACCUGGGAACUGCAUUUGUGACUGCAAGGCUAGAGUACGGCAGAGGGGGAUGGAAUUCCGCGUGUAGCAGUGAAAUGCGUAGAUAUGCGGAGGAACACCAAUGGCGAAGGCAAUCCCCUGGGCCUGUACUGACGCUCAUGCACGAAAGCGUGGGGAGCAAACAGGAUUAGAAACCCGGGUAGUCC